CAGCGUUGAUGUCACCAUGCAAGGACGUGAGCUGGUUUAGACGUCGGAGACAGUUAGUUUACCUACUAAUGACAAACGUGUGCGACAGCAUCCUGCGUAGUACGAGAGAACCGCAGGUACGGACCAAUGCACAUACUGUCGAGCGAACAGUGGUAUGACGCUACGUCCGUUGGAUUAUGCCUGAACGCCUCUAAGGUCGUAUCCGUGCUGGACUGCAAUGAUAAAUAAGCGGCAAUUUGCAUUGUAUGCCUUCUAAACCAUUUAAGUUUAUAAUUUAUUUAUAAACGACAAUGGAUGUGAUGCCAAUGUAAUUUGUAACAUAGUAAAUUAGGAGGAUCUUCGAUCACCUGAUGCCGCGCUAGUUACAUAUAAAAGCAUUAUUUAAUACAAUGACAAAGCCUAGAAUCAAUGUAAACGACUUUUGUAACAGGCAAGGUGUUGUAAGUGGUUGAGCAGCUGCCAUACUGCGAUCCACUGAAGCUUAUCCUUUGCUUGAUGAUUCGA
This 504-nucleotide non-coding RNA is filed under the name Drosophila sechellia. RNAcentral describes it as "Eukaryotic large subunit ribosomal RNA". It matches the Rfam family "Eukaryotic large subunit ribosomal RNA", at positions 2919 to 3401 of the family's 3401-position model. Lineage: Eukaryota; Metazoa; Arthropoda; Insecta; Diptera; Drosophilidae. The record is from Rfam by way of RNAcentral.